This 492-nucleotide ribosomal RNA is filed under the name uncultured bacterium. Its description in RNAcentral is "partial 16S ribosomal RNA". It matches the Rfam family "Bacterial small subunit ribosomal RNA", at positions 29 to 507 of the family's 1533-position model. The record is from RNAcentral.
AGUGAACGCUGGCGGUAGGCCUAACACAUGCAAGUCGAACGGCAGCACAGUAAGAGCUUGCUCUUACGGGUGGCGAGUGGCGGACGGGUGAGGAAUACAUCGGAAUCUACUUUUUCGUGGGGGAUAACGUAGGGAACCUUACGCUAAUACCGCAUACGACCUACGGGUGAAAGCAGGGGAUCUUCGGACCUUGCGCGAUUGAAUGAGCCGAUGUCGGAUUAGCUAGUUGGCGGGGUAAAGGCCCACCAAGGCGGCGAUCCGUAGCUGGUCUGAGAGGAUGAUCAGCCACACUGGAACUGAGACACGGUCCAGACUCCUACGGGAGGCAGCAGUGGGGAAUAUUGGACAAUGGGCGCAAGCCUGAUCCAGCCAUACCGCGUGGGUGAAGAAGGCCUUCGGGUUGUAAAGCCCUUUUGUUGGGAAAGAAAAGCAGCAGGUUAAUACCCCGCUGUUCUGACGGUACCCAAAGAAUAAGCACCGGCUAACUUCGUG